RNAcentral lists this ribosomal RNA (461 nucleotides) under uncultured bacterium. RNAcentral's name for it is "partial 16S ribosomal RNA". It matches the Rfam family "Bacterial small subunit ribosomal RNA", at positions 338 to 795 of the family's 1533-position model. The record is from RNAcentral.
CCUACGGGAGGCAGCAGUGAGGAAUAUUGGUCAAUGGGCGGAAGCCUGAACCAGCCAAGUAGCGUGCGGGAUGAAGGCCCUACGGGUCGUAAACCGCUUUUGCACGGGGAGCAAUGCCGGGCACGUGUGCCCGGAGGGAGAGUACCCGCAGCAUAAGCAUCGGCUAACUCCGUGCCAGCAGCCGCGGUAAUACGGAGGAUGCGAGCGUUAUCCGGAUUUAUUGGGUUUAAAGGGUGCGUAGGCGGAUUUUUAAGUCAGCGGUAAAAUGUCCGGGCUCAACCCGGGCCGGCCGUUGAAACUGGGGAUCUUGAGUGGGCGAGAAGUAGGCGGAAUGCGUGGUGUAGCGGUGAAAUGCAUAGAUAUCACGCAGAACUCCGAUUGCGAAGGCAGCAUACCGGUGCCCGACUGACGCUGAGGCACGAAAGCGUGGGGAUCGAACAGGAUUAGAUACCCUAGUAGUC